RNAcentral lists this ribosomal RNA (35 nucleotides) under Botryosphaeria dothidea. RNAcentral's name for it is "partial 18S ribosomal RNA". The record is from RNAcentral. Lineage: Eukaryota; Fungi; Ascomycota; Dothideomycetes; Botryosphaeriales; Botryosphaeriaceae.
GGGCUCGACUGAUCGGGCUCGGCCCGAUCCUCCCA